Molecule: ribosomal RNA, 427 nt
Filed under: actinobacterium SCGC AAA028-N15
Lineage: Bacteria; Bacillati; Actinomycetota; Actinomycetes
Also listed under: 1 other name
Description: bacterial SSU rRNA
Rfam family: Bacterial small subunit ribosomal RNA
Source: RNAcentral
GCACCAGUGGGGAAUAUUGCGCAAUGGACGAAAGUCUGACGCAGCGACGCCUCGUGAGGGACGAAGGUCUUCGGAUUGUAAACCUCUUUCAGCAGGGACGAAGCGAAAGUGACGGUACCUGCAGAAGAAGCACCGGCUAACUAUGUGCCAGCAGCCGCGGUAAUACAUAGGGUGCAAGCGUUGUCCGGAUUUAUUGGGCGUAAAGAGUUCGUAGGCGGUUUUUCGCGUCGGAUGUGAAAACUCAGGGCUCAACCCUGAGCCUGCAUUCGAUACGGGAAGACUCGAGGACGGCAGGGGAGACUGGAACUUCUGGUGUAGCGGUGGAAUGCGCAGAUAUCAGAAAGAACACCAAUGGCGAAGGCAGGUCUCUGGGCCGAUCCUGACGCUGAGGAACGAAAGCGUGGGGAGCAAACAGGAUUAGAUACCC